CACCUUUCGAAAAGCGUCACAGCUUAAUAACUCUUAACGACAAUACCACAAAAUAUUAAAAACCCUUCAUUAGUACCGAAUUCUUCUAUAUGCCUAUAGAACUACUUAUGUUAAGACUAGUAGCAAGAAGCACCCUUCUCUUUUAAUGUAAGUGUAAACAAUACACCCAUUGUGACCUAACACGCGAACAAAAUGUAGCAACCCCACAAGAAAAUCCUACCUUACCUGCUGUUAACCUUACACCAGAACAUUCCAAGAAAGAUCCCAGGAGAAAGAAGGAACUCGGCAAACCACGAUUCCGCCUGUUUACCAAAAACAUCGCCUCUUGCAUAAUAUAAGAGGUCCUGUCUGCCCAGUGACUCUGUUCAACGGCCGCGGUAUUCUGACCGUGCAAAGGUAGCGCAAUCACUUGUUUUCUAAUUAAAGACCUGUAUGAAAGACCCCACGAGAAUCACACUGUCUCCUUUCUCCCAUCAACGAAACUAAUCUCCUCGUGAAAAAGCGAGAAUAUACAUAUAAGACGAAAAGACCCUGUGGAGCUUUAAACAAACUAACAACUAACUUACUUUCUACUAGCAUAGACCUGAUUAUAGGUUUUUGGUUGGGGCGACCAUGGAGCAAAACCAAACCUCCAAGAUGACAAAGGACCUCCUUUAACAUAAAAAUACAAUUUCAUGUACCAGUAUACUGACAUAAUUGACCCUUCUUGAUCAACGAACCAAGUUAC
This 727-nucleotide ribosomal RNA is filed under the name Adelophryne adiastola (Yapima shield frog). RNAcentral describes it as "partial 16S ribosomal RNA". The stretch from base 260 to 507 matches the Rfam family "Archaeal large subunit ribosomal RNA", at positions 1787 to 2143 of the family's 2987-position model. Lineage: Eukaryota; Metazoa; Chordata; Amphibia; Anura; Eleutherodactylidae. The record is from RNAcentral.